Molecule: small nucleolar RNA, 87 nt
Organism: Lactuca sativa (garden lettuce)
Lineage: Eukaryota; Viridiplantae; Streptophyta; Magnoliopsida; Asterales; Asteraceae
Product: small nucleolar RNA snoR116
Source: RefSeq, a predicted model, not a curated record
AGGCAAUGAUGACGAAAACAAACAUACCAUCAAACUCUGAAAGCUUUACGCUUUUCUUUGAUGAUUAUACAACAUUCAACUGAGCCU